Molecule: ribosomal RNA, 253 nt
Filed under: uncultured bacterium
Lineage: Bacteria
Description: partial 16S ribosomal RNA
Rfam family: Bacterial small subunit ribosomal RNA
Source: RNAcentral
UACAGAGGGGGCAAGCGUUAUUCGGAUUUACUGGGUUUAAAGGGUGCGUAGGUGGGUCUGUAAGUCAGUGGUGAAAUCUCCGGGCUUAACCCGGAAACUGCCAUUGAUACUAUAGAUCUUGAAUAUCCUGGAGGUGAGCGGAAUAUGUCAUGUAGCGGUGAAAUGCUUAGAUAUGACAUAGAACACCAAUUGCGAAGGCAGCUCACUACGGGAUCAUUGACACUGAGGCACGAAAGCGUGGGGAUCAAACAGG